ACACCCCCUGGGGAACAACGUCACCAUUGUCAUCGUUGCCACCGUCGCUGUCACCAUCGCUGCGUCACCGUCGCUGUGCCACCACUGCCACCCCCAUUGUGUCACCACUGUCACCAUCACUGUGUCACCGUUUCUGUGCCAUCGUCACCAUCGCUGUGUCACCAUCGCUGUGUCACCAUCGCUGUGCCACCACUGCCACCCCCCUUGUGUCACCAUCGUCACCAUCGCUGUGUCACCCUUUCUGUGCCAUCGUUGUCACCAUUGCUGUGUCACCAUCGCUGCGUCACCGUCACUGUGUCACCAUUGUCACUAUUGCUGUGUUACCAUUGUCACCAUCUGUGUCACCGUCAUUGUGCCACCAAUGUGUCACCAUUGUCACCAUCUGUGUCCCCAUUGUCACCAUCACUGCGUCACCAUUGUCACCAUCUGUGUCCCCAUUGUCACCAUCACUGUGUCACCAUUGUCACCAUCACUGUGUCACCGUCACUGUGUCACCAUUGUCACCAUCACUGUGUCACCAUUGUCACCAUCUGUGUCCCCAUCAUUGUGCCACCACUGUGUCACCAUCUGUGUCCCCAUUGUCACCUCCUCUGUGUCACCAUUGUCACCAUCGCUGUGUCACCAGUGUCACCUCCAUUGUGCCACCAUUGUCACCCCCGUUGUGCCAUCACUGUCACUUCCUCUGUGUCACCAUUGUCACCCCCGCUGUGUCACCACUGUCACCAUUUCUGUGUCACCACUGCCACCAUCGCUGUGUCACCACUGCCACCAUCGUUGUGUCACCACUGUCACCACCAUUGUGCCACCACUGUCAUCCCAGUUGUGCCAUCACUGUCACUUCCUCUGUGUCACCAUUGUCACCCCCGCUAUGUCACCAUUGUCACCACCACUGUGUCACCACUGUCACCCCCAUUGUGUCACCACUGUCACCAUCACUGUGUCACUGCUGUCCUCUCCACCAUGUCCCCUCCGUUGUGUCCCUGCUGUCACCAUCGCCGCGUCACCACUGUCACCUCCUCUGUGUCACCAUUGUCACUGUCACUGUGUCACCACUGUCACCAUUUCUACGUCACCACUGUCACCAUCGCUGUGUCAUCAUUGUCACCACCAUUGUGUCACCAUUGUCACCACCAUUGUGUCACCGCUGUCCCCUCCAUUUUGUCCCCUCCAUUGUGUCACCGCUGUCUCCCCCACUGUGUCACCAUUGUCACCACCAUUGUGUCACCGCUGUCCCCUCCAUUGUGCCACUGCUGUCACCCCCACUGUGUCACCAUUGUCACCACCAUUGUGCCACUGCUGCCACCCCCGCUGUGUCACCACUGUCACCCCUGUUGUGUCACCGCUGCCACCCCCGCAGUGUCCCGUGGUGUCCCUGCCCCGCCCUCGAUGGCGACACCGUCCCCGUGUCCCCAGGGCCACCCACGCCGUGUCACCGCCCGGCCGCGCCCUGGCUGCCACUGCCACCGCCUGUCCCCUCCCCGCCGGGUCCCCUCUGGGGGGUUGGGGACGUUUGGGGACACCUGGGUCCCUCCUGGGGACACCUGGGGCCAUUUCUGGGGACAUUUGGGGACACCUGGGUCCCUCCUGGGGACACCUGGGGCCGUUUUUGGGGACGUUUGGGGACACCUGGGUCCCUC
RNAcentral lists this long non-coding RNA (1637 nucleotides) under Lonchura striata (white-rumped munia). RNAcentral's name for it is "domestica (Bengalese finch) lncRNA (ENSLSDG00000002947.1)". The record is from RNAcentral. Lineage: Eukaryota; Metazoa; Chordata; Aves; Passeriformes; Estrildidae.